CAGUAGCCGCGGUAAAACGAAGGGUGCAAGCGUUACUCGGAAUUACUGGGCGUAAAGCGUGCGUAGGUGGUGGUUUAAGUCCGUUGUGAAAGCCCUGGGCUCAACCUGGGAAUUGCAGUGGAUACUGGGUCACUAGGGUGUGGUAGAGGAUAGUGGAAUUUCCGGUGUAGCAGUGAAAUGCGUAGAGAUCGGAAGGAACAUCUGUGGCGAAGGCGACUAUCUGGGCCAACACUGACACUGAGGCACGAAAGCGUGGGGAGCAAACAGGAUUAGAUACCCCUGUAGUCCCUGUCUCUUAUAC
RNAcentral lists this ribosomal RNA (301 nucleotides) under uncultured bacterium. Its description in RNAcentral is "partial 16S ribosomal RNA". It matches the Rfam family "Bacterial small subunit ribosomal RNA", at positions 509 to 807 of the family's 1533-position model. The record is from RNAcentral.